UGUAGCGGUGAAAUGCGUAGAGAUGUGGAGGAACACCAGUGGCGAAGGCGGCCCCCUGGACAAAGACUGACGCUCAGUGUGCGAAAGCGUAGGGAGCAAACAGGAUUAGAUACCCUGGUAGUCCACGCCGUAAACGAUGUCGACUUGGAGGUUGUGCCCUUGAGGCGUGGCUUCCGGAGCUAACGCGUUAAGUCGACCGCCUGGGGAGUACGGCCGCAAGGUUAAAACUCAAAUGAAUUGACGGGGGCCCGCACAAGCGGUGGAGCAUGUGGUUUAAUUCGAUGCAACGCGAAGAACCUUACCUACUCUUGACAUCCAGAGAACUUAGCAGAGAUGCUUUGGUGCCUUCGGGAACUCUGAGACAGGUGCUGCAUGGCUGUCGUCAGCUCGUGUUGUGAAAUGUUGGGUUAAGUCCCGCAACGAGCGCAACCCUUAUCCUUUGUUGCCAGCAGGUAGGCCGGGAACUCAAGGAGACUGCCAGUGAUAAACUGUAGAAGGUGGGGAUGACGUCAAGUCAUCAUGGCCUUACGAGUAUGGCUACUCGCCUGCUCAAUGGCGCAGCAAUGAGAGAGACUCGUGAGAGGAAGCGUACUCGUAAGUGCGU
This 604-nucleotide ribosomal RNA is filed under the name uncultured bacterium. Its description in RNAcentral is "bacterial SSU rRNA". It matches the Rfam family "Bacterial small subunit ribosomal RNA", at positions 674 to 1285 of the family's 1533-position model. The record is from RNAcentral.